This 244-nucleotide long non-coding RNA is filed under the name Phoenix dactylifera (date palm). RNAcentral describes it as "long non-coding RNA (PDAC_LNC008003)". Lineage: Eukaryota; Viridiplantae; Streptophyta; Magnoliopsida; Arecales; Arecaceae. The record is from RNAcentral.
UGCGCAGAACCUUGCUGAGGCUGAUUUCGUUCUUACUUCUAUCAAUCAACCUUUAAUUGAUCUUCUUGGAAGAUGGAGGAGGAAUGGUUUAUAGGGAAUGAAGAGGCUUGAGAUCUGAUCUACAAACGUCAAUCAGAGAUCCCUAAACCCUAAUGCGUGGAGGACUUUGGAGGAGAAGAAGAGGAGGCGUGGAGAGCAAACAAUGAACCAUGGCGACUCAAAAUGAAACCCUCCUUUUAAUGCC